This 916-nucleotide long non-coding RNA is filed under the name Coturnix japonica (Japanese quail). RNAcentral describes it as "lncRNA (ENSCJPG00005002648.1)". The record is from RNAcentral. Lineage: Eukaryota; Metazoa; Chordata; Aves; Galliformes; Phasianidae.
GGUGGACACAGCUGAACUUCUGACACAAAAACUAGUCUGACCACUAGGAUUUGUUACUGGCAUCUGGGGGAAAAUAAAACAGUCCGGUGACUUUGCUCCCUGUUCCUUGCCAGCCAUUUUCACCAUCUAAUUUUAUAUCCCCGCUUUCCCUUACUACUCAUCCACACUACGCUACCUUACAAGACUCAGCAGCUUGGUGUGCGGCCAUGUAGCAUGCAGAAAUAUAAACGGUGAUAAGUCUGUGAAGAGAACCAGCUCCAAUUCUCUUACCACACCGACAUGUGCUGGUUGGCCUACCACAAGCUGCACGCUGGGUGAGAAGCUUUGUUGUGUGGAAGAGCCCCUUUCUUACACCAGUCAGAUACAGUCACUAAACGUAAUUUGGCAUGUGAUGGUCUUUAAAGGUUGCAGCCAGUGUAAAGUUUCACACAGGAAAGACUGGGGCUCUUUCUUGUCUCCUCCUGCCUCUGCUCCUUCUCAAGCUCCGCCUAACGACAUGGAGGUGCUGGGGCAGGCCCAAAGGAGGACAACGGGGCUUGUGAAGGGCUUGGAGAAUAUGCCCUACAAGGACAGACUGAGGGAACUGGGACUGUUUAUUCUGCAGAAAAGGAGUCUGAGGGGAGACCUUAUUGCUCUCUUCCAGUAUCUGAAAGGUGCUUACAGCAAGAGUGGGGCUGGUCUCUUCUCACUGGUGACAGGACGGGGGGAAAUGGCCUCAAGCUGCAUCAGGUGGGGAGGACAGGGACAAGAGGCAGCAGGCCCAAAAAAUGCUCCUGCAGAUCAUCAGCCAGAGGGGCUCCUGUGCCUACGGACAUCAACGCCUGUCAUUGCAGGAGGAAGCCCACUAGGACACACAUCUGCAGCUCUUCUGCCACCUCUGGAGGCAAUGCUGGUAGCAUCUCAUGACUUUCCGUAG